GGCCGCGGGAAUUCGAUUCAGGCCUAACACAUGCAAGUCGCACGGACCCUUCGGGGUGAGUGGCGGACGGGUGAGUAUCGCGUAGGGAUCUAUCCACGGGUGGGGGAUACCAUCGGGAAACUGGUGCUAAUACCGCAUGAUACCUGAGGGUCAAAGGCGCAAGUCGCCUGUGGAGGAGCCUGCGUUCGAUUAGCUUGUUGGUGGGGUAAAGGCCUACCAAGGCGAUGAUCGAUAGCUGGUCUGAGAGGAUGAUCAGCCACACUGGGACUGAGACACGGCCCAGACUCCUACGGGAGGCAGCAGUGGGGAAUAUUGUACAAGGGGCGAAACCCUAUCC
Molecule: ribosomal RNA, 337 nt
Filed under: uncultured bacterium
Lineage: Bacteria
Description: bacterial SSU rRNA
Rfam family: Bacterial small subunit ribosomal RNA
Source: RNAcentral